This 305-nucleotide ribosomal RNA is filed under the name uncultured bacterium. RNAcentral's name for it is "bacterial SSU rRNA". It matches the Rfam family "Bacterial small subunit ribosomal RNA", at positions 335 to 643 of the family's 1533-position model. The record is from RNAcentral.
UACCUACGGGAGGCAGCAGUGGGGAAUAUUGCACAAUGGGGGAAACCCUGAUGCAGCGACGCCGCGUGAGUGAAGAAGUAUCUCGGUACGUAAAGCUCUAUCAGCAGGGAAGAAAAAAAGUCUUUGGCUUUGGACGGUACCUGACUAAGAAGCCCCGGCUAACUACGUGCCAGCAGCCGCGGUAAUACGUAGGGGGCAAGCGUUAUCCGGAUUUACUGGGUGUAAAGGGAGCGUAGGUGGCAAGGCAAGUCAGAUGUGAAAACCCGGGGCCCAACCCCGGGAGUGCAUUUGAAACUGUCUGGCUA